ACUCUAAAUAGACUGCCUUCGUAAGGAGGAGGAAGGUGUGGACGACGUCAAGUCAUCAUGGCCCUUAUGCCCAGGGCGACACACGUGCUACAAUGGCAUAUACAAUGAGACGCAAUACCGCGAGGUGGAGCAAAUCUAUAAAAUAUGUCCCAGUUCGGAUUGUUCUCUGCAACUCGAGAGCAUGAAGCCGGAAUCGCUAGUAAUCGUAGAUCAGCCAUGCUACGGUGAAUACGUUCCCGGGUCUUGUACUCACCGCCCGUCACACCAUGGGAGUUGAUUUCACUCGAAGCCGGAAUACUAAACUAGUUACCGUCCACAGUGGAAUCAGCGACUGGGGUGAAGUCGUAACAAGGUAACCGUAGGAGAACCUGCGGUUGGAUCACCUCCUUUCUAG
RNAcentral lists this ribosomal RNA (394 nucleotides) under Campylobacter coli. RNAcentral's name for it is "bacterial SSU rRNA". It matches the Rfam family "Bacterial small subunit ribosomal RNA", at positions 1137 to 1533 of the family's 1533-position model. The record is from RNAcentral. Lineage: Bacteria; Pseudomonadati; Campylobacterota; Epsilonproteobacteria; Campylobacterales; Campylobacteraceae.